RNAcentral lists this ribosomal RNA (100 nucleotides) under uncultured eukaryote. RNAcentral describes it as "partial small subunit ribosomal RNA". The record is from RNAcentral.
UCGCUCCUACCGAUUCGAGUGGUUCGGCGAAUUCUCCGGAUUGUGACUCUUUUCAAGAGUUGCAAAAAGUUGUGUAAGCCAUAUCACUUAGAGGAAGGAU